GACGGCGGAUGAGCACUGGAAGUUGUUGAGGAGGGUUGAGUCUUGGGUGGAGAUACUGAAUGUUGCAGAGGAUAGGUUGUAGGUUUGGUACACGAAGGGGAAGAAGUAGAGGCGGAUGAAGUGGCGGCCUUGUUUUUGGAUGGGGAAGGAGUAGGAGGACGGACCAGUGAAGAUGCGGGCGGUCUCGUAGAGGACGGGGCUGUCGACGGAUCCAACAGAAUUGGCUGAAACAUUGGCUAGGAUGUUCUGAGGAGUUUUGAGGGUGGUGGCACUGGAGGUGUCGGCGGCGAACACUCUGGUACCGACGGUGGUGUUGGUAUUCGAGCCACAGUCAAUCAGGUAGUUGUCU
RNAcentral lists this unclassified non-coding RNA (349 nucleotides) under Hevea brasiliensis (rubber tree). The record is from RNAcentral. Lineage: Eukaryota; Viridiplantae; Streptophyta; Magnoliopsida; Malpighiales; Euphorbiaceae.